Molecule: non-coding RNA, 23 nt
Filed under: Rattus norvegicus (Norway rat)
Lineage: Eukaryota; Metazoa; Chordata; Mammalia; Rodentia; Muridae
Source: RNAcentral
CAAGAGAACAGAUGGCUCCCCAC